UUGCUUAGGCUUCUGACUUAACCUGUUGAGGUGACUGGAGCAGUUUUCUCUCAGAAUGUAGUGCUUCAGAUUGUCUGCAGACUCAGUAAGACAACACUGCAUCCUUUACAGUUGUUUUGUUUUCAGGAUGUUCUUUGCAACUAUGAAGUCUAGAAAUAAAUAUUUUUAAAAAUGGAAGUUUAGAUUCUGGAACACAAUUCUGCUGUGGGUUCCACAGCAAAUUCCAAAGCCAAAAAUCAUCACAUAAUAAAUGGGGAACUGCUGGUUAUGCCUAGUUGGGGAGUUAACUACCUGAUGGAUGUUGCUAUCUAGUUAAACAGCAGUGCAAGGAUGCAGUGACACUGGCUCAGAAGAAGUAGUUCCCUCCCUACACAUGGAAACAAACACCUGGAUAGCAUAGGAGUGGGGUGGUAGCAUUUUUUUUUUAGUCUGCUAUUAUUGAAUGCCAACUGAGUAGGGCAGCAGCAUAAUACAAAAGGACUCUCUCAUUACCUGAAUGGGUGAGAACCACCAGCAGCUGUUUGUAUUAAAGCCCCUAAGCUGAAGAAAGAAUAUUCUGCUGAGCUGUGCUGGCUUGAAAAGGGAUGCCACAAGUAUUUUUUUUUUUUGUCACUGCAUUAGCAUGGCAUGGGUAACAAAUGACAGCUGAGCUUCACUGUUCUUUUGGGUGAUGGAAUCUUGAGCAGAACUCUGGAGAGAAACAUCUUGACUGGUUGAGACUCAUCUGUGAUGGAGAGAAAAAACAAAUCCGUUCUUGUCAGAAAAAAUUCCUGAUCAUGUGUUUCUCAUCAAAAACCAGCAAUUACAUCCUAUGACCUUGGAUCAUAAUUGUAACACCCACCAGAUAGGAUUUAUAUUGGUGCCACACAGCUGGAACACUUAGCUCUCACAAUGGGCUUUUCUCACCCAAAUAGCUUUUCCUGCGGAUGCCUCAGACUCUGAAGGGCCAAUGGCCACCCACUGUGAGUUAUCAAAAUGUGAAUUUCCACAAACAGAGGCUGUGGGCUUUGUUUGGGACAUUAAAAUUCCAUGUACAUGGCAGAGGAUGUAAAAGGAUCUCUGAAACAUCUUCAUUUUGUCAUUUCCUGCUUCAUUUCUCUGAACUGGAUUUCUAAAAAGGAAGCUUUAGACAAGAACUGAUGACCCCCAAUAUGUUUGGGUAAUUCCAGAGAGACUUUUGUAAGAUAGCAGUUUAUUCCAUCACUGCUAUGAUCCUGAUAUAUGAACACUUUGAAUUCCCUUGUAUGU
Long non-coding RNA from Mauremys reevesii (Reeves's turtle), 1248 nucleotides. RefSeq lists it as uncharacterized. Lineage: Eukaryota; Metazoa; Chordata; Testudines; Geoemydidae. The transcript has 4 exons. The record is from RefSeq and is a predicted model, not a curated record.